RNAcentral lists this ribosomal RNA (455 nucleotides) under Klebsiella pneumoniae. RNAcentral's name for it is "bacterial SSU rRNA". It matches the Rfam family "Bacterial small subunit ribosomal RNA", at positions 1088 to 1533 of the family's 1533-position model. The record is from RNAcentral. Lineage: Bacteria; Pseudomonadati; Pseudomonadota; Gammaproteobacteria; Enterobacterales; Enterobacteriaceae.
CGCAACGAGCGCAACCCUUAUCCUUUGUUGCCAGCGGUCCGGCCGGGAACUCAAAGGAGACUGCCAGUGAUAAACUGGAGGAAGGUGGGGAUGACGUCAAGUCAUCAUGGCCCUUACGACCAGGGCUACACACGUGCUACAAUGGCAUAUACAAAGAGAAGCGACCUCGCGAGAGCAAGCGGACCUCAUAAAGUAUGUCGUAGUCCGGAUUGGAGUCUGCAACUCGACUCCAUGAAGUCGGAAUCGCUAGUAAUCGUAGAUCAGAAUGCUACGGUGAAUACGUUCCCGGGCCUUGUACACACCGCCCGUCACACCAUGGGAGUGGGUUGCAAAAGAAGUAGGUAGCUUAACCUUCGGGAGGGCGCUUACCACUUUGUGAUUCAUGACUGGGGUGAAGUCGUAACAAGGUAACCGUAGGGGAACCUGCGGUUGGAUCACCUCCUUACCUUAAAGAA